This 301-nucleotide ribosomal RNA is filed under the name uncultured bacterium. RNAcentral's name for it is "partial 16S ribosomal RNA". It matches the Rfam family "Bacterial small subunit ribosomal RNA", at positions 509 to 807 of the family's 1533-position model. The record is from RNAcentral.
CAGCCGCCACGGUAAUACGUAGGGUGCGAGCGUUGAUCGGAAUUACUGGGCGUAAAGCGUGCGCAGGCGGUUUUGUAAGACAGGCGUGAAAUCCCCGGGCUCAACCUGGGAAUGGCGCUUGUGACUGCAAAGCUAGAGUGCGGCAGAGGGGGAUGGAAUUCCGCGUGUAGCAGUGAAAUGCGUAGAUAUGCGGAGGAACACCGAUGGCGAAGGCAAUCCCCUGGGCCUGCACUGACGCUCAUGCACGAAAGCGUGGGGAGCAAACAGGAUUAGAUACCCCCGUAGUCCCUGUCUCUUAUAC